Molecule: transfer RNA, 73 nt
Filed under: Candidatus Brocadia sp.
Lineage: Bacteria; Pseudomonadati; Planctomycetota; Candidatus Brocadiia; Candidatus Brocadiales; Candidatus Brocadiaceae
Description: tRNA-Met
Rfam family: tRNA
About the family: Transfer RNA (tRNA) molecules are approximately 80 nucleotides in length. Their secondary structure includes four short double-helical elements and three loops (D, anti-codon, and T loops).
Source: RNAcentral
UGCGGAGUGGAGCAGUUGGUAGCUCGCCUGGCUCAUAACCAGGAGGUCCUUGGUUCGAUUCCAAGCUCCGCAA